GAUGAACGCUGGCGGCGUGCCUAAUACAUGCAAGUAGAACGGUAAAGCAAUGAGCUUGCUCUUUCCGGAUGAGUUGCGAACGGGUGAGUAACGCGUAGGUAACCUGCUUGGUAUCGGGGGAUAACUAUGGGAAACGAUAUCUAAUACUGCAUAACAGUAGGUGUGGCAUGACGACUAGGUGAAUGGGGCCAUUGCUGCACUACCAGACGGAUCUGCGGUGUAUUAGCUAGUUGGUGAGGUAACGGCUCACCAAGGGGGCGGUACAUAGCCGACCUGAGAGGGUUGUCGGCCACACUGGGACUGGGACACGGCCCAGACUCCCUCGGGAAGGAGCCGGAGGGAAACUUCGGCCAUGGGCGGAAGUCUGGACGCACAACGCCGCGGGAGGUGAGAAAGUCUUCGGGUCGGAAAGGUCUGUUUUAAGGGAAGAAAGAGUGUGAGGGUGGAACGCCGCUGCUGUGACGGUAUCUUACGAAAAAGCACCGGCUAACUACGUG
Molecule: ribosomal RNA, 497 nt
Filed under: uncultured bacterium
Lineage: Bacteria
Description: partial 16S ribosomal RNA
Rfam family: Bacterial small subunit ribosomal RNA
Source: RNAcentral